GAAAACAUCAAUGUGUGCCUCUUCUCUCAGCUCACCUCGUCGAAUCUUCGCCACGGGCCGUCGCGCUGGAAAUCGCUUCCGGCAGCGGUGGCCACCAAGAUACAAAUUAAAGCUACAAAAAGAACCAUAUCAACCUCCCCAAUCUGAUUCUGGUCACCAUUUCACUUCAAGUUUUUUGCAUUAUCCGAAUUGAUGGAUUAAUCUGAAGAACUCUAGAUCCUAAACAUGAAAUUAAAUUAUGCUCCCUCUAAGUCAAAGCCCUAGACGUCAGGGCUUUGACUCGUCUGGCCUUAAACUACGACCUGGUGUCAUUAAUGGUUCAGAUGAUUGCUAAAGAGAAUACUCACCCUUCGAAGAAGAUGAACUUGACCAGAGCAGUGUCAGCGCUGGACAAUUCCAGGUUUUGUGCAAGGCUGGUGUGGUUUGAGGGCUAUGCAUUACUUUGCUGAUUGUUGUUGCAUUGCUACUGUUAAGCUACUGAUGCAGUAGUUUGUCUGGUAUAAUACAUGUACAUGGCCUGUUUAUACCUUGGUUCAAAGCUUGAUUAAUAGAUGCAUGACACUAGGUUAUGGCUUGUGGUAUGUACUUGCGUUGCCAACUGACUUGGUAUGGCUGCAACCUUGCAUGAUGCCAUGAUUUUAUUGGCCAUAACCAUGUUCAUAUAAUGAUAAGCCAAUGUUUUGUUUCCUUGGUGAUGAACCAGAGUUGCAUCGGACUUUUCAAUGGCCAUUCUUUGGACUGCCAUCAGGCUAUUUCAUAAUGUAUAAGCUGAUUAGUUGAGUUGUGAUCGGAAAAAUAGCAAGUGUACUAUUUUGCCUGUUAUAAAAAUAAAGGGGAAAUUCCCCGAAUAUCGAUCUCAA
Lathyrus oleraceus (garden pea) is the source of this 860-nucleotide long non-coding RNA. RefSeq lists it as uncharacterized. NCBI's taxonomy places the organism in Eukaryota, Viridiplantae, Streptophyta, Magnoliopsida, Fabales, Fabaceae. The record is from RefSeq and is a predicted model, not a curated record. The transcript is spliced from 2 exons.